RNAcentral lists this long non-coding RNA (783 nucleotides) under Manihot esculenta (cassava). Its description in RNAcentral is "long non-coding RNA (MESC_LNC006572)". Lineage: Eukaryota; Viridiplantae; Streptophyta; Magnoliopsida; Malpighiales; Euphorbiaceae. The record is from RNAcentral.
ACCAUUUUAAAAGGAACAAAAAAAAANNNAAAACCUAAACACCCCGUUAUGCUUUGCAGCCGCCGCCUCUCUCUAAACCUCGAUACAACUCUUUCAUUUUGCCAAGAGCGACAUAACCUCUCUCCUCCUUCCACCAGCGACCAGCUAGGCGUGAGCAGCAACAAGACGACAAGUAGCAACGAUGAGCGACGUGGAGUGAGGCGUGCGACUACCCCAUCAGGCGAUAUUCAGACGUGCAAUUCCUCCAGACCUAUGAUUCGUCGCUCACGAAAGCUCCUCCUUCCACCAGCGAUGGCGACCCACGCAACAGCUCCACUUUGUGCGGCUAUUAACUACCGCCUCUGAUCAGCAAAGAUUUAUUGUAUUAUUUAGAUCAGAAAAUUUUCAUUUAUGUUUUUAUAAUUUUGAUUUUGUAAAAUAUGAUUAUAAAUUCAAAUUGUUGGCUGCGUAAAAUGUAAGAGUUUUGCUGUAAGGGAUUCUUUUUUUCUACAUUUGCUGUUCAUUCUUGCAUCAUAUGUUUUUGCAUUUGCAUUUGAUGUAUGGGGAAGAGGGGAAUGGGAUGCUUGCUAUGAUGUGUUUUGUCCUAAUCGCUAAUAUUUUACUAUUUGGGGAGAGUGGAAUGAGAUUUAUGCUUGUUGUGCACUGCUAGCUAUUCUAUGUAUUUGUGUGAUGUAAUACAUAUGUAUAUAGGAUUGUGCAGAAUGAAAUGGCUUGUUGUUGGGUGUGUAGCUCAUUUGUUAGCUUAUAUGUUGCUGCUGGGGACAAUGGCUUGCUAUAUUCUUU